AGUGGAAUUGCUGGGUCAAAUGGUGGUUCCAUUUCAAAUUUUCCAAGGAAUCUCUAUACUGCUUUCUAGAUUGGCUGCAUCAAUUCACAGCCCCACCAGCAAU
This 103-nucleotide microRNA precursor is filed under the name Marmota monax (woodchuck). Lineage: Eukaryota; Metazoa; Chordata; Mammalia; Rodentia; Sciuridae. The record is from RNAcentral.